Molecule: long non-coding RNA, 759 nt
Organism: Mus musculus (house mouse)
Lineage: Eukaryota; Metazoa; Chordata; Mammalia; Rodentia; Muridae
Product: predicted gene, 36244
Exons: 3
Source: RefSeq, a predicted model, not a curated record
CAAGCCUUUCACCCCUGUCCUUCCCAGGGCUCCAGAUGUCCUUGGCCAUUGAACCAAAGAUCUUACAGAGGCCAGACAGAUAAGAUGCAGUCUAAAACUGCCAGUUACUAUUGGUAAUGCAGCAUGCUCUAUCAAGAACAAGCAAGCUCUUGCCCAGCCUGAGGCAGUAUGAGCAGUGGGACCAGCACUUUCCAACAGAGCGGUAUAAGAGGUGGUGACACUGGUGUGCACCGACCUUCUCAAGACUGUGUUGAGGACUCCGGGCCACACUCUUCCUUCUCUGGGAAUGCUGAGGCAUGAUGCCACAGAAGCAGCUCACUGCCUCAGCUGAUCAGCUAGAACGAAGCGACCUGCUUCUAAUACUGAAGUCUACACAGAAGUGUUACCUCGCCCUGAAAAAGGACAAUGUUCUAACUCAGGAGCAAUGAUGCUGAGGUAAAAGCUGGGGAGCCUGGGUCCCUUCUAGGGAAGGUACAACGUGGCAUGAACAUCCAAAGUUGUCUCGAGAGCCAUGGAAGCAAACCUGAGAAUACUUGAUGUCAUCACUCACUAUGUUUGAGACCGAGAUAGCUGCGUGGAACAAAGGCUUCAGUCUGGAUGUAAGGUGGCCAGUUACUUCAUCCUGGCUCCUCCUGAGUCAGGCAGAGGCUAUCCAGACCCCAUACGCUCAAUCUCUGAAUAGAAGAUAAGAGCCCCAUCUCAGGAAUGACCACUGCAUAUCUGAGGAGAACUAACACAGAUUUGAUUCUGUCAUUAAAA